Macrobrachium nipponense is the source of this 321-nucleotide long non-coding RNA. RefSeq lists it as uncharacterized. The transcript is spliced from 3 exons. NCBI's taxonomy places the organism in Eukaryota, Metazoa, Arthropoda, Malacostraca, Decapoda, Palaemonidae. The record is from RefSeq and is a predicted model, not a curated record.
GUUUUUGCAUUCGUGCUUGUUAAAAGGAAUUGGUAUUGUCGCCAUUUGAUUUUAAGGUCUUCUAUGUCUGAGCUGGUGGCCGCCUGGGCCAGGUGGUUAAGACUGGAUAGCGAUGGCCACUCUGUAGAGUGCAAGUGGGAAACUAGGCAAGAAUGCUUCUACGAAUUCUUCUCAUCCGACAUUAUUGUAAGUCUGAUCACACUGCAGGAACUUUUUCCUUUAAAUGGAUUCUCAGAUUACUACGAAUUUAAUUUUUCUUGGAUUCUCGGACUACUACUGGCACUGCGUUAGGUGUUCUAACUUCGGAACUGGUUUAGAAAA